RNAcentral lists this ribosomal RNA (485 nucleotides) under Mesopodopsis slabberi. Its description in RNAcentral is "partial 16S ribosomal RNA". It matches the Rfam family "Bacterial large subunit ribosomal RNA", at positions 1809 to 2607 of the family's 2925-position model. The record is from RNAcentral. Lineage: Eukaryota; Metazoa; Arthropoda; Malacostraca; Mysida; Mysidae.
AAAAACAUUUCUUCUACAAGUUAGAAGUAAGGCCUGCUCACUGUUAAAAUAAAGAGCUGCAGUAUUUUGACUGUGCAAAGGUAGCAUAAUAGAUUGCCUUUUAAUUGGGGGCUGGAAUGAAAGGUUUGACAAAACAAAGGUUUUUCCUGGUGUAAGUUCGAAGUUAAAUUUCCUGUCAGAAUGCAAGAAUUUUAGUAAAGGACGAUAAGACCCUAUAAACUUUUACACAUACUCAUUUUAAGAAAUUAUAUUAUAGUGUUUGAUUGGGGCAAUCAAAAUAAAUUAAUUUUAUAACAAAACUUUAUACAAGGGAAUUAGAGCCUAAAAAGCAAUAGAAAAAAGUACUUUAGGGAUAACAGCGUUAUAGUCUCGGAGAGACCAUAUCUAUGGGACUGAUUGCGACCUCGAUGUUGAAUUAAGAAAAUCUUGGAGCAGCCUUCAAGAAAUUUUAGGUCUGUUCGACCUUUAAAUUUUUACGUGAUCUG